UGGGGAAUAUUGGACAAUGGGCGAAAGCCUGAUCCAGCCAUGCCGCGUGAGUGAUGAAGGCCUUAGGGUUGUAAAGCUCUUUUACCAGGGAAGAUGAUGACGGUACCUGGAGAAUAAGCACCGGCUAACUUCGUGCCAGCAGCCGCGGUAAUACAAAUGGUGCUAGCGUUGUUCGGAAUCACUGGGCGUAAAGCGUGCGCAGGCGGCUAUUCAAGUCAGAGGUGAAAUGCCUAGGCUCAACCUAGGAACUGCCUUUGAAACUGUAUAGCUAGAGUCUCGGAGGGGUUAGGGGAAUUCCUAAUGUAGCGGUGAAAUGCGUAGAUAUUAGGAGGAACACCAGUGGCGAAGGCGCCUAACUGGACGAGUACUGACGCUCAUGCACGAAAGCGUGGGGAUCAAACAG
This 403-nucleotide ribosomal RNA is filed under the name uncultured bacterium. RNAcentral's name for it is "bacterial SSU rRNA". It matches the Rfam family "Bacterial small subunit ribosomal RNA", at positions 355 to 775 of the family's 1533-position model. The record is from RNAcentral.